Molecule: ribosomal RNA, 253 nt
Filed under: uncultured bacterium
Lineage: Bacteria
Description: partial 16S ribosomal RNA
Rfam family: Bacterial small subunit ribosomal RNA
Source: RNAcentral
UACGGGGGGGGCAAGCGUUGUUCGGAAUUACUGGGCGUAAAGGGCUCGUAGGUGGCCAACUAAGUCAGACGUGAAAUCCCUCAGCUUAACUGGGGAACUGCGUCUGAUACUGGAUGGCUUGAGAUUGGGAGAGGGAUGCGGAAUUCCAGGUGUAGCGGUGAAAUGCGUAGAUAUCUGGAGGAACACCGGUGGCGAAGGCGGCAUCCUGGACCAACACUGACACUGAGGAGCGAAAGCCAGGGGAGCAAACGGG